GAUAAACGCUAGCGGCGUGCUUAAUGCAUGCAAGUCGAACGAUCUUGAUUUAUUAAGAUAGUGGCAAAUGGGUGAGUAACACGUAAGUAACCUGCCCUUAAGUACGGAAUAACCCCGGGAAACUGGAGCUAAUACUGUAUGUGGUGGUGGAGGUAAUGCUUCAUCACUAAAGUCUUCGGACGCUUAGGGAGGGGCUUGCGUCUGAUUAGCUAGUUGGUAGAGUAACGGUCUACCAAGGCGAUAAUCAGUAGCUGGUCUGAGAGGAUGGUCAGCCACACUGGGACUGAGACACGGCCCAGACUCCUACGGGUGGCAG
RNAcentral lists this ribosomal RNA (316 nucleotides) under uncultured Chloroflexota bacterium. RNAcentral's name for it is "bacterial SSU rRNA". It matches the Rfam family "Bacterial small subunit ribosomal RNA", at positions 28 to 351 of the family's 1533-position model. The record is from RNAcentral. Lineage: Bacteria; Bacillati; Chloroflexota.